This 253-nucleotide ribosomal RNA is filed under the name uncultured bacterium. RNAcentral's name for it is "partial 16S ribosomal RNA". It matches the Rfam family "Bacterial small subunit ribosomal RNA", at positions 524 to 776 of the family's 1533-position model. The record is from RNAcentral.
UACGUAGGGUGCAAGCGUUGUUCGGAAUUAUUGGGCGUAAAGAGCUCGUAGGCGGUCUGUCGCGUCUGCUGUGAAAACUCAGGGCUUAACCCUGAGCUUGCAGUGGGUACGGGCAGGCUAGAGUGCGGUAGGGGAGACUGGAAUUCCUGGUGUAGCGGUGAAAUGCGCAGAUAUCAGGAGGAACACCGAUGGCGAAGGCAGGUCUCUGGGCCAUAACUGACGCUGAGAAGCGAAAGCAUGGGGAGCGAACAGG